AACAGGUGAGUGGACUCAUUUAGGCAGGGAGCUGUCAUUAGCAGUCUGUAAGCCUUUGAAUGAUUGCUCAGUUCUUGCAUUUCAGGUGUUCCUGACUUUUGGUCCUGUCUCUCUGGACACACCGAGCAACUCCAAUAAUACUGCAAUAUGUUACAUCACCACUUAUGAAGUGAAGAUGGUGACUACAGUGGGAUUGUUCAGUUUGGUGUUCCUCUUUAACGUGAUCAUGUUUGGGGUGACAGUCAGACGUGUUUGGAUUCUUCGAUGUUCCCAAGAGUUUGGACAGGUCGACCGUGACAGAGCCAGAAAAGACCUGUUUACCCUGCUUGGAGUCAUCACUCUCCUCUGCCUUACCUGGGGCCUGGUCUUCUUCUCUUUUGGCUAUCUGACUACUCCUGGCCUCUACCUCUUCUGCAUCCUGAACUCCCUCUGCAAGAUGCUAGAUGCCUGUCACGAGGCACAGAUGGUGACCAAGGAUACACACACUUGAUGAUAGGUCGUCGAAUCU
Oreochromis niloticus (Nile tilapia) is the source of this 508-nucleotide long non-coding RNA. RefSeq annotates it as adhesion G-protein coupled receptor G5. The record is from RefSeq and is a predicted model, not a curated record. The transcript has 5 exons. NCBI's taxonomy places the organism in Eukaryota, Metazoa, Chordata, Actinopteri, Cichliformes, Cichlidae.